This 496-nucleotide ribosomal RNA is filed under the name uncultured bacterium. Its description in RNAcentral is "partial 16S ribosomal RNA". It matches the Rfam family "Bacterial small subunit ribosomal RNA", at positions 28 to 506 of the family's 1533-position model. The record is from RNAcentral.
GAUGAACGCUGGCGGCGUGCCUAAUACAUGCAAGUCGAGCGAACAGACGAGGAGCUUGCUCCUCUGACGUUAGCGGCGGACGGGUGAGUAACACGUGGAUAACCUACCUAUAAGACUGGGAUAACUUCGGGAAACCGGAGCUAAUACCGGAUAAUAUAUUGAACCGCAUGGUUCAAUAGUGAAAGACGGUUUUGCUGUCACUUAUAGAUGGAUCCGCGCCGCAUUAGCUAGUUGGUAAGGUAACGGCUUACCAAGGCGACGAUGCGUAGCCGACCUGAGAGGGUGAUCGGCCAAACUGGAACUGAGAAACGGUCCAACUCCCUACGGGAGGAAGCGGAAGGGAAUCUUCCGCAAGGGGCGAAAGCCUGACGGAGCAACGCCGCGUGAGUGAUGAAGGUCUUCGGAUCGUAAAACCUUGUUAUUAGGGAAGAACAAAUGGGUAAGUAACUAUGCACGUCUUGACGGUACCUAAUCAGAAAGCCACGGCUAACUACGU